Molecule: long non-coding RNA, 623 nt
Organism: Myotis daubentonii (Daubenton's bat)
Lineage: Eukaryota; Metazoa; Chordata; Mammalia; Chiroptera; Vespertilionidae
Source: RefSeq, a predicted model, not a curated record
UCCCUAGUGUCUGCCUCCUCGCCCUGCGCGGUGCCAGCCCAGGGCUGGCUCCAGGUUUCCCGGGCACCUCUAACCUGCAUUUCUGACACACUGGCCUUAACUCAAGGACAUCACACUGAUGGAUGGAGGAGGCAUCUCUGAUUCUUGUUUCCCCAGCCCUGAGCAACGCUAGCCAUAAGUGCCUGAAAGAGAAACAAUCAAACAGGAUUCUGAGGUUGCACUUUUCCCCUUCCCUGCUGGGAAGAUACCAGUUCUGGGCCCUCGGCUGUCAGUCUCCUAGAGUGAAGCAUGGGCACGAAUCCAGGGCCUGAGCUUCUUUGAAGUUUCCCACUUCAUUGAUGAUGCUCCACUAUCCUUCAGCUUCUCUGCUUCAGCUACUUCAGAGUCCCCAUUCUUCACAAAACCGGAAAGGACUUGACAUCUGCUGUAAUCUAUGCUUAAGCAUGUUUGAUAUAAUUUCAGUUUUGUCUCUCACAUUGUGCAUCUAUCCUCGUGACACACCCUGGAAGCCAUUCUUCCUAUGUGCAACUUGCCCUGUCACAGAACGGCUGCUUCACCUCUAAGCAUUGUCUCUGCAUUCUGGGUGGGAAAAAGGAAAACAGAAAAGGACAAGAAAACAUGCA